GUAGUUAGCCGGGGCUUCCUCCUUGGCUACCGUCACUUUCUUCGUCACCAAGGACAGAGGUUUACAAUCCGAAGACCUUCUUCCCUCACGCGGCGUUGCUGGGUCAGGCUUGCGCCCAUUGCCCAAUAUUCCCCACUGCUGCCUCCCGUAGGAGUCUGGACCGUGUCUCAGUUCCAGUGUGGCCGAUCAGCCUCUCAGCUCGGCUACCCAUCGUUGGCUAGGUGGGCCGUUACCCCGCCUACUACCUAAUGGGACGCGAACCCCUCCUUCUGCGGAUUGCUCCUUUGACCCCUGAGCCAUGCGACUCUGUGGUCUUAUGCGGUAUUAGCACUUGUUUCCAGGUGUUAUCCCCCUCAAAAGGGCAGGUUGUUCACGCGUUACUCACCCGUUCGCCACUAGCUAUAAAUCCGAAAACCUAUAGCCCGUUCGACUUGCAUGUGUUAGGCACGCCGCCAGCGUCGUCUGAGCACGANACAACUACUGA
This 484-nucleotide ribosomal RNA is filed under the name uncultured bacterium. Its description in RNAcentral is "partial 16S ribosomal RNA". The record is from RNAcentral.